This 382-nucleotide ribosomal RNA is filed under the name uncultured fungus. RNAcentral describes it as "SSU rRNA". It matches the Rfam family "Eukaryotic small subunit ribosomal RNA", at positions 828 to 1208 of the family's 1831-position model. The record is from RNAcentral. Lineage: Eukaryota; Fungi.
CAUCGGUUCUAUUUUGUUGGUUUCUAGGACCGCUGUAAUGAUUAAUAGGGAUAGUCGGGGGCGUCAGUAUUCAAUUGUCAGAGGUGAAAUUCUUGGAUUUAUUGAAAGACUAACUACUGCGAAAGCAUUUGCCAAGGUAUGUUUUCAUUAAUCAGGAACGAAAGUUAGGGGAUCGAAGACGAUCAGAUACCGUCGUAGUCUUAACCAUAAACUAUGCCGACUAGGGAUCGGACGAUGUAUUUUUUUGACUCGUUCGGCACCUUACGAGAAAUCAAAGUGCUUGGGCUCCAGGGGGAGUAUGGUCGCAAGGCUGAAACUUAAAGAAAUUGACGGAAGGGCACCACCAGGGGUGGAGCCUGCGGCUUAAUUUGACUCAACACGG